Molecule: unclassified non-coding RNA, 327 nt
Filed under: soil metagenome
Description: partial contains 5.8S ribosomal RNA, internal transcribed spacer 2, and large subunit ribosomal RNA
Rfam family: 5.8S ribosomal RNA (bases 1-120)
Source: RNAcentral
GAUGAAGAACGCAGCGAAAUGCGAUAAGUAAUGUGAAUUGCAGAAUUCAGUGAAUCAUCGAAUCUUUGAACGCACAUUGCGCCCUCUGGUAUUCCGGGGGGCAUGCCUGUUCGAGCGUCAUUAUAACCACUCAAGCUCUCGCUUGGUAUUGGGGUUCGCGGUUUCGCGGCCCCUAAAAUCAGUGGCGGUGCCUGUCGGCUCUACGCGUAGUAAUACUUCUCGCGAUUGAGUUCGAUAGGUCUACUUGCCAGUAACCCCCAAUUUUUACAGGUUGACCUCGGAUCAGGUAGGGAUACCCGCUGAACUUAAGCAUAUCAAUAAGCGGAA